UACAGAGGUGGCAAGCGUUGUUCGGAAUUACUGGGCGUAAAGGGCGCGUAGGCGGCCUUCUCAGUCGGACGUGAAAUCCCCAGGCUUAACUUGGGAACUGCGUCCGAUACUGGAUGGCUUGAGUGCGGGAGAGGGAUGUGGAAUUCCAGGUGUAGCGGUGAAAUGCGUAGAUAUCGUAAGGAACGCCAGUGGCGAAAGCGAGUCUCUGGGCAGCAUCUGACGCUGAGGCACGAAGGCCAGGGGAGCAAACGGG
RNAcentral lists this ribosomal RNA (253 nucleotides) under uncultured bacterium. RNAcentral describes it as "partial 16S ribosomal RNA". It matches the Rfam family "Bacterial small subunit ribosomal RNA", at positions 524 to 776 of the family's 1533-position model. The record is from RNAcentral.